GAUGCCAGGGGUUAAAGGUCAAAAAGCCGUUCAUGCUUGCAUGAUAAGGCUUUUGACUUUGAACCCCGUUAAACAUGAGGAAGCAGCGAUUUGCACAGCAAAUCAGCGGAUUCCGAAUGGUUUGCAGGGUUGCGGGAGCAG
Molecule: small RNA, 141 nt
Filed under: uncultured Acetatifactor sp.
Lineage: Bacteria; Bacillati; Bacillota; Clostridia; Lachnospirales; Lachnospiraceae
Description: Clostridiales-1 RNA
Rfam family: Clostridiales-1 RNA
Source: RNAcentral